GGCAAGAUGGCCGAGCGGUCUAAGGCGCCAGGUUAAGGUUUACCUUGACAGACAACUCCCCCGAGUUUCCUGGUCAUCGUUUGAUGGCGUGGGUUCGAAUCCCACUCUUGUCA
Non-coding RNA from Aspergillus heteromorphus CBS 117.55, 113 nucleotides. The record is from the annotation of a RefSeq genome assembly. NCBI's taxonomy places the organism in Eukaryota, Fungi, Ascomycota, Eurotiomycetes, Eurotiales, Aspergillaceae.